This 226-nucleotide unclassified non-coding RNA is filed under the name Halorubrum aquaticum. RNAcentral's name for it is "HgcC family RNA". Lineage: Archaea; Methanobacteriati; Methanobacteriota; Halobacteria; Halobacteriales; Haloferacaceae. The record is from RNAcentral.
UGGGGCGCUGUUGACCGCGUCACAGCCCUUUGACAUCCUCCUCCGCGUGAACGCGGAGGAAUCCCGACCGCGUUUGGGAUAUAAAGGGGAGAAAACGAGAGUUUCGCCCGUAUAUUUGCGGGUUUCGCUUGAGUGCGGGUUGGAACCAAAAGGCACUGACAGCCCGAAUCCGGUGGACGGAUUCCACGUCCUUCAGGGCGUGGAGGAGGUCAAUAGCUAAGCAGCC